Molecule: small nucleolar RNA, 130 nt
Filed under: Nannospalax galili (Upper Galilee mountains blind mole rat)
Lineage: Eukaryota; Metazoa; Chordata; Mammalia; Rodentia; Spalacidae
Description: Small nucleolar RNA SNORA31 (ENSNGAG00000004517.1)
Rfam family: Small nucleolar RNA SNORA31
About the family: ACA31 (SNORA31) belongs to the H/ACA class of snoRNAs which are thought to guide the sites of modification of uridines to pseudouridines. ACA31 is predicted to guide the pseudouridylation of U3713 in 28S rRNA and U218 in 18S rRNA.
Source: Rfam by way of RNAcentral
CUGCAUCCACUGAUAGACCUUGAACAAUUUGUGGUUGUUCUUCAGGUUUGCACUAGGAUGCAAAAGAAAAUACUCCCUGCGCUUUCUGUCUGUCUUUGUGGCUGUCCAGAUUGAAUUGGGGAGUACAUUU